AGAGUGAACGCUGGCGGUAGGCCUAACACAUGCAAGUCGAACGGCAGCACAGUAGGAGCUUGCUCUUACGGGUGGCGAGUGGCGGACGGGUGAGGAAUACAUCGGAAUCUACCUUUUGGUGGGGGAUAACGUAGGGAAACUUACGCUAAUACCGCAUACGCCCUUCGGGGGAAAGCCGGGGACCAGCAAUGGCCUGGCGCUGAUAGAUGAGCCGAUGUCGGAUUAGCUAGUUGGUGAGGUAAUGGCUCACCAAGGCGACGAUCCGUAGCUGGUCUGAGAGGAUGAUCAGCCACAC
This 295-nucleotide ribosomal RNA is filed under the name uncultured soil bacterium. Its description in RNAcentral is "partial 16S ribosomal RNA". It matches the Rfam family "Bacterial small subunit ribosomal RNA", at positions 26 to 313 of the family's 1533-position model. The record is from RNAcentral.